ACACCUCAACUCCUCAUGGCUUGCCAUGAUGAGCUUGGACUUUGGGGGUCUUGCUGGCCUGCAGUCAGCUCCUCUCAAAUGAAUCAGCUUGCCAGUGUUUGGUGGCGCCACAGGUGUGAUAAACAAUCUACUCUUGUGGUCCCCUGCCAUGUAACCUUCAGCGAUGGAGGUUUGCUGGAGCUCACAAAUGUCUUUCCUCAGUGAAGACAGAUCUUUGAUU
Molecule: unclassified non-coding RNA, 220 nt
Filed under: uncultured Tomentella
Lineage: Eukaryota; Fungi; Basidiomycota; Agaricomycetes; Thelephorales; Thelephoraceae
Description: sequence contains ITS2
Source: RNAcentral